Molecule: long non-coding RNA, 2200 nt
Organism: Felis catus (domestic cat)
Lineage: Eukaryota; Metazoa; Chordata; Mammalia; Carnivora; Felidae
Exons: 2
Source: RefSeq, a predicted model, not a curated record
GAGCGCGCCGCCACCCCUUAGGAGGCCUGCAUCACUCCUGCCCAGGCGCUACCGCUAACCGCAGCGGGCGCUCCCAGCUCUGGGUCACCUAGGAGUUCCAGGGGAGUGGGCGAUCCGGGGACUGCGCGGCAAGAGAGGUAUCUGACCAGACUGCAGCAAGCCCUUCAGCCGCUCUACUUCAGCCAGAGUUGACGCAUUUGCUAUAGCAUUCUGGAGGACAGAAAACAACAGAGAAGGACAAUUAAUUGCAUCUAAGUAUCAAUCACCCAGAAAACCUUACAGAAGUCCAUAGCAACUUUUUGAGGUGGAACAUUCAACAGCUCUACUGGGAGAAUUUUAUUGUCACAAUGAGCAAAUGAUUACUGCACAUGUCCUAAAAUUUUAGCUAAUUAAAGCACCUAUGUGGAAUUAUGUUACUGGAUAAUUUAGGAAGCAGUAUUAGGAAACUAGGAUUUCCCACUGAUCAUCAAGCAGAUCUUUCAGACAGCAAAUCUCUGAAAGUAAAAAUUAAGGCAAACAACCGAGACAGCAUACUUCAGUGACUGACCGUUCAAAUACCCUGGGAAAAUGGAAAAGAACUAGAGCUGUCUCUGUGCUGACUGGCUCACAGAAGCGAUUCACAUCAAAGGUGGUUGAAUAAUCACUUUAAGCUAGUUCCCACCUAACACAGAAAUGGAGCAGGAAUCUAAGUGUGGGGGGUGGAGGAUGGAAACUGCAAUGUUUAGAACUUGGUCUAUUACAUAUUUUGUGUCCUAAACCCAUGGCAACUCUUCUAACACAUUUUUACCUUGAUGGCUUCUACAUCCCCUGGAGACGGCCCACCUUUCUUUUUGUCAGUCGGCAAACCGGCACCUGGGUUGAAACUUGGGAGGGGAGGGAAGAACAUAACUGUUAAAUCCAGACCAAUGGAAAUUGCUUCUCUUUUACUUUCAAAAAGGCUUUUGAAAGUAAUUCAACCAGUGUAGUAUCUUAUCUUUGUUAACAAACUGAUACAAGAAACUCUCUCCUUCAGAAACACCACCCAGUUCAUCUUCCUCUAGAGAAAGCAGGAUAUAUACAGUGUUGCAUUAAGACUGAACACCGGAAGUAUUUGCUAACCUGGUAGAAAUCUCAUGUGAUGUGUGGACCAUUGAAGGUCAUGGGCUAUCAUCACACAAAUUCAAUAGUGUUAUUAGUCAGUCACAGGUGUUUUGUUUAGUUCUGUAGGAGGCAAAAAGCCAGACAGAUAGUGUUUCUGAAGGUGAAGUGGAGUGAAGUUGGAUAUCCGUAUCUUACGUUUUGCUUCUCCUGGCAAUAUCCUUUGCAAGUUGUGCACCCCGUUUGCCCUUGAACAUUUUCUCUGCUUCCUGACGCUCCUACAGCAACACCACACACAGAGUUAAUGGAAAUAGGAAUACCACAUGCAUUUAGAUGCAUUCCUCAGAAAACACGGAAGAAAACUCUUCUGAAAUACUCGGGGCUGGUAAAAAUACCAAAAAGUCAAUUUCAAAUUAAAAGGAGACACAAUGGCCUUGCUUUGUCUGGUGAAGUUCCCUGAAGAAAGUUCCCCCUCCUAGUUUCAGGGAGGGGCUCUGGAGGAACUAGGAAGGUUUAAAAAGGAAAGAAAAAAAAAACAACAAAAAACAAAAACAGAAACAAAAAACAAGGGAAAACCCACUCCCUGUAAAGGGAAAAUCAUUCUAACAAUUAAAGCUGCUGAAAAAUGGAUUCUAUUAAGCUCCCCAAGGGGGAACAUAUCUUAAGCACAGUCUUGCUGACAGUGCUCACCGCGGCUGAUACUGUGCUACGACCUCUGAAUGACCAACACUACUGCACAAGACAGCUUUAACUCAAAGUCCUACUGUAAACUCUGCUACGAAAAAAAAAUCUGACUUAACAUUUUGUUUCCCACAUUUUUAUGACAAACCAAUAGUAAAACACAUUUGGCAAUUUAAAAAAAUCAACAGCAAAAGUAUAAAAUAAAACAUGAACGUAUAAUGACUUACAACCAACAGAAAAUACUUACUUUCAGUUUCACCUUCUGGAAAUCCAGUACUCUGACUUGUGGAACUUUAUAAAUUACAUACAGUCUGUAAUGCUUCUUAUUUGUUACAGGAUUUCUUAGGAUACUGCAAGAAAAGGAAUAGCAAUGCCAGUCUUGUUCAUAGCGUAGCAUUUCAAGAGGUCCAUUUUAAUAAAAUCAAAUGAGUCCAUAAACUAA